UGGCUUUGCUGGUUACCUGUUGUGCCUAUUACCUCAAAAUGGUGCUAUGUGUUCUCUCACUUGGUCUGGCUGCAGGAUUGUAAGUCUCAUAUCAGCACUGUUAGCAUGUACCAUAGACAUGCUGCUGCUACACGCAGUUCUUCUGUCCCUUCUGCUACCUCAUUCUCUCUCACUUCAUUCUUCAGAUCCAUUUCUCUAGACAUCACUGACUCUAUCCUGGAAGACAACCAAUCACACCUCUGACUAUACCAUGGCCAUUCUCCCCAUACACAGUUUCUAGAAAUAGUAGUUACAAAAGUUACUGUAUAGAUGGCAAAAUCAUGAACAGCUAGAGAAGAAGAUAGUAAAAAAGAGAAAAAAAGGGAAAACUGCCCGUACAACAAUCUACAUUUUACCCAUGGUUGCUAUUGAAAAUUCCCUUCAUGUUUCUGGCAUGUGAACAAAUUUCAUGUGUGAGGUUUUGUUUGUUUGUUUUGUUUUAUCUAUUUGUCUUUCUGUUGCUUCCAAUACUGUAUGGACACUGGAGUUACAAGUAAUCUGAUGCAGUGAAAUAACAUGGUCAUACAUAAAUAACAUAAAUAAUAUGGAAAUAGCAGUGAAUGUAUGACAAUGUUGCAGCCUUCAAUAAGAGCUCUGAAUGUCUCAAUAUUUUUUACAUCCUUACCCCUACAGAUUUUUAUUUUUAUUUUUUUUUAACAUUGUCUUCAUCUUACAGUUGAGGAACAGACAAGGAUUUCCGAAGUGAUUUAGAUGUUGGUCUAAUGGCAGAACAAAGUUUAACAUCUCAUAACUGCCUAGUGGAAUUACUAGACCUCACUUAUCUGGUCAAGUUGGUCACAUGAACAUAUGUCUAUCAAGUAAAGCCACCUAAGAAAAGGUCAGAAUUAGCAAUCUGAGCACAGAGUUAAAUGGAGGACAUAAUCAACACUGAAGCAGUCAAUCAGCUAUUGAUUCAAAAGGGCUCUUGAACUAUGAACUUACUGCUGAAGCUGAAGACAUAUCAGCCAUUUGUCUCUUUGUUAUCUGCCUUACAGCAUAUCUUUUUACUCUG
Anas platyrhynchos (mallard) is the source of this 1051-nucleotide non-coding RNA. Lineage: Eukaryota; Metazoa; Chordata; Aves; Anseriformes; Anatidae. The record is from RefSeq and is a predicted model, not a curated record.